ACGGGAGGCAGCAGUGGGGAAUAUUGGGCAAUGGGCGAAAGCCUGACCCAGCAACGCCGCGUGAAGGAAGAAGGUCUUCGGAUUGUAAACUUCUUUUAUGAGGGACGAAGGACGUGACGGUACCUCAUGAAUAAGCCACGGCUAACUACGUGCCAGCAGCCGCGGUAAUACGUAGGUGGCGAGCGUUAUCCGGAUUUACUGGGUGUAAAGGGCGCGUAGGCGGGGAUGCAAGUCAGAUGUGAAAUCUAUGGGCUUAACUCAUAAACUGCAUUUGAAACUGUAUCUCUUGAGUGCUGGAGAGGUAAGCGGAAUUCCUAGUGUAGCGGUGAAAUGCGUAGAUAUUAGGAGGAACACCAGUGGCGAAGGCGGCUUGCUGGACGACAACUGACGUUGAGGCGCGAAAGCGUGGGGAGCAAACAGGAUUAGAUACCCUGGUA
This is a ribosomal RNA of 437 nucleotides. It matches the Rfam family "Bacterial small subunit ribosomal RNA", at positions 341 to 792 of the family's 1533-position model.